AUAAACUCUAUAAAGACAGCUAAAUGGCCGCGGUAACUCUGACCGUGAUAAAGUAGCAUAAUCACUCGUCACUUAAUUGGUGACUGGAAUGAAUGGCUAAACGAACCCCCCUCUGUCUCCAAGAAAAUUCCGGCGAACUUGAAAUGACAGUGAAGAUGCUGUCAAGCAACUGUAAGACGAAAAGACCCUAUCGAGCUUUACUGGAAGCUUGCAGAUUUAAAAGGACGUUAACCUGCACGUCUUCAAAAACUGCAAGCCCGACAGUUUGGUUGGGGCGACCACCCCUAAGAAAGUAUCAGGGGAACUCUAAAGGUAAUUACUAAAUGGAAAAUGCCUUACUGAAAACAAACAAGUCAACCAGUUACUAUAGGUAGGACAUAAUGACCCGUUACAUCAAUCACGAAAUGUAACGACCACGAAAAAAGUUACCGUAGGGAUAACAGGGUAAUAUUUUCGGAGAGUUCAUAUCGAUGAAAAUGUUUGCCACCUCGAUGUUGAAUUGUGAUAUCCUAGGGGUGCAG
RNAcentral lists this ribosomal RNA (521 nucleotides) under Aurelia marginalis. RNAcentral's name for it is "partial large subunit ribosomal RNA". It matches the Rfam family "Bacterial large subunit ribosomal RNA", at positions 1900 to 2558 of the family's 2925-position model. The record is from RNAcentral. Lineage: Eukaryota; Metazoa; Cnidaria; Scyphozoa; Semaeostomeae; Ulmaridae.